RNAcentral lists this ribosomal RNA (460 nucleotides) under uncultured bacterium. RNAcentral's name for it is "partial 16S ribosomal RNA". It matches the Rfam family "Bacterial small subunit ribosomal RNA", at positions 338 to 795 of the family's 1533-position model. The record is from RNAcentral.
CCUACGGGAGGCAGCAGUGAGGAAUAUUGGUCAAUGGACGAGAGUCUGAACCAGCCAAGUAGCGUGAAGGAUGACUGCCCUACGGGUUGUAAACUUCUUUUAUAUGGGAAUAAAGUGUUCCACGUGUGGGACUUUGUAUGUACCAUAUGAAUAAGGAUAGGCUAACUCCGUGCCAGCAGCCGCGGUAAUACGGAGGAUCCGAGCGUUAUCCGGAUUUAUUGGGUUUAAAGGGUGCGUAGGUGGAUUGUUAAGUCAGUUGUGAAAGUUUGCGGCUCAAACGUAAAAUUGCCGUUGAAACUGGCAGUCUUGAGUACAGUAGAGGUGGGCGGAAUUCGUGGUGUAGCGGUGAAAUGCUUAGAUAUCACGAAGAACUCCGAUUGCGAAGGCAGCUCACUGGACUGCAACUGACACUGAGGCUCGAAAGUGUGGGUAUCAAACAGGAUUAGAUACCCGGGUAGUC